AUGCACUAGAGCUUUGUCCUUACGGAAAAGCGCAUUUAUUAGAACAAAACCACGCGGCUUCGGCUGCUUCUUGUUGACUCAGAAUAACUAAGCUGACCGCAUGGCCUUGUGCCGGCGGCGUGUCUUUCAAGCGUCCACUUUAUCAACUUGACGGGAGCAUAAUCGACUCCCGUGGUGGUGACGGAUAACGGAGGAUCAGGGUUCGACUCCGGAGAAGGGGCCUGAGAAAUGGCCACUACGUCUAAGGAUGGCAGCAGGCGCGCAAAUUACCCACUCUCGGCUCGAGGAGGUAGUGACGAGAAAUAACGAGACUGUUCUCUUUGAGGCCGGUCAUCGGAAUGGGUACAAUUUAAACCCUUUAACGAGUAUCAAGCAGAGGGCAAGUCUGGUGCCAGCAGCCGCGGUAAUUCCAGCUCUGCUAAUACAUAGAAUUAUUGCUGCGGUUAAAAAGCUCGUAGUUGGAUUCGUAUCGGUACCUUGGAACCCUUCGGGUGUCUCUAGGUGUUAUCGAUUUAUCGUAAUGUUCGGUUUUGAGUCCUUAACAGGAUUCUUAACAGGCAUUGCAAGUUUACUUUGAACAAAUCAGAGUGCUUCAAACAGGCGUUUUCGCUUGAAUGAUCGUGCAUGGAAUAAUAGAAAAUGAUUUCGGUUCAGUUUUAUUGGUUUUACGGACUGAGAUAAUGAUUAACAGAGACAAACGGGGGCAUUUGUAUGGUCCCGUGAGAGGUGAAAUUCUUGGACCGUGGCCAGACAAACUACAGCGAAAGCAUUUGCCAAGAAUGUUUUUAUUAAUCAAGAACGAAAGUCAGAGGUUCGAAGGCGAUCAGAUACCGCCCUAGUUCUGACCGUAAACGAUGCCAACUAGCGAUCCGCUGAUGGAAAUUAUAUUGCCUUGGUGGGGAGCUUCCCGGAAACGAAAGUCUUCCGGUUCCGGGGGAAGUAUGGUUGCAAAGCUGAAACUUAAAGGAAUUGACGGAAGGGCACCACCAGGAGUGGAGCCUGCGGCUUAAUUUGACUCAACACGGGGAAACUCACCCGGCCCGGACACUGUGAGGAUUGACAGAUUGAUAGCUUUUUCAUGAUUCAGUGGAUGGUGGUGCAUGGCCGUUCUUAGUUCGUGGAGUGAUUUGUCUGGUUUAUUCCGAUAACGAGCGAGACUCUAACCUACUAAAUAGUUGGUACAUACUCUUUGUGUAUACAGCUUCUUAGAGGGAUUUGCGGCGUUCAGCCGAAAGAAAUUGAGCAAUAACAGGUCUGUGAUGCCCUUAGAUGUCCGGGGCUGCACGCGCGCUACACUGGCAAAAUCAACGUGCUUGUCCUACCCCGAAAGGGGCGGGUAAACCAUUGAAAAUUUGCCGUGAUUGGGAUCGGAAAUUGCAAUUAUUUUCCGUGAACGAGGAAUUCCAAGUAAGUGCGAGUCAUCAGCUCGCGUUGAUUACGUCCCUGCCCUUUGUACACACCGCCCGUCGCUGCCCGGGACUGAGCCAUUUCGAGAAAUUUGGGGACCGUUGAUUUAAUUUUUCUAAAUUACUUUGAUGGAAAUCAAUUUAAUCGCAGUGGCUUGAACCGGGC
RNAcentral lists this ribosomal RNA (1572 nucleotides) under Meloidogyne lopezi. Its description in RNAcentral is "SSU rRNA". It matches the Rfam family "Eukaryotic small subunit ribosomal RNA", at positions 171 to 1783 of the family's 1831-position model. Lineage: Eukaryota; Metazoa; Nematoda; Chromadorea; Rhabditida; Meloidogynidae. The record is from RNAcentral.